UUGGUCAAGCAAAUCUUGUCAGUAGAAAAACGCGGCAAAUUUGAAAAAUCGCGGGCUAGCAACACUGUGUUCGAAUAAUUCCAAAAUCGCGUGUAAUCUGUGUUUUAUCUGUAGAAUGUGGAUCGUCCAUCUUGUUUGUUUACAUUCCGAAUCGGUGCUAAUUCAAGAGAAAUUUCUGCUCCCAGCAUUAAAAUAAAUAUCAAUAUAUUAAAUAAUAUUGUGCAUGACCAUAAGCAAAGUCAAGAUGCCUACAAUGGUUAAAAGGCUUAAAUAAAGAUAAAACGUAUGCCUCAAUAUAUCCAAUAAGACCACGAAUUGUGCCCUCGAAACCGCAACUGAUUCGAUUGUUCCCAAUAUCAACAGAUGAAGUCCUCAAAUAUUUUCAAAGGUAACUUUUUUAAACAAUCUUAAGACGUUUAAGAACCUUGAUUAUACCUACUUUCUUUCGCAACAUCUACCUAAUACUUCCAUAUGUUUGUUGCAGGAUUAAAACUCUCCCAAUAUAAGGCGUUCGUAAAAGUUUCUCUUCAUACAAAACUUACCUACGGCGGUUUACGUACAUACGUGUACAACGCAAACAAGACGAAAAAUAAACUUGUUAAUUAAAAAAACUAAAAAAAUUGGUACAAUAGUUUAGAUUAUUAUUGUAAAAGUUGUCUGUUUGUUAAUCAUCACGAAAAUAUAUUAUUUAGGCUGAUUUGUUUCAUGCACUCAGCUAUUGCACAUGUAUACCUAUGGAAAAUCCUAGUUUAUACUUUCUGAAGUCGGUAUGUACCUAUUUAAGAGAAGUUUUAAGUCGCUUUACCUGUUUGUUCAAUAAAUUAAAAUAAUUUAUUCAGUGUGCAUAAUUUUAGAAAAAUAUUUUAACAUUUAAAUCAUACCUUCUAUUAUCCAGAAACAAUAUAACUCCAUAUUACUCACAUGAGUGGAAGUUGUUAAGUUUCCAUUGUCAAGGUAUCUUUUAUUAAUAUUUUGAGUACCUGAAAUUGUGUCAGUUCCUGACAAGUCUUGAAUAGACUAAUGUGAAAGUUAAUAAAAUUUCUUAACAGCAUUCUCCUGAUUUCUAAAUGACUUUUUUAAUUAUCUACAUAUAAAAUAUGAUCUAGCCGAUACAUGUAAAUAUCUAACAUUUUUAGCCUGUAUAAAAACAGUAGUGUGAGCAAAACCUUACCAAGCUAGCAUGUAAGAGUGGUCUCAGAGAUAUUGGAAUAUCUCUGUACUAUAAAUUAGGCAAAUUGCUUAAGACUAAGUUUUAUGUGUAACUACUACUGAAUAAAUUUUGAAACUUGGAAUGGAAACUUUAAACUUGAAAUUACAAAUUUUCAAACAGAUCUGUUUUAUGCUUAAGAUGCAAUAAGUGACUAGGUACAAAGUAUUCUGAUGCUUGGUUGGAGUGGACCAGUAGCAUUGGUAACUUAAUGAUAUUUUUUCAAUGAAUGGCCUGAAUUAAGUGUAAGUAAGCUAAAGUGAUCCGUAUCUUAAUUGCCUUGAAAUUAAAUGAACACCAAAAUA
Long non-coding RNA from Cydia pomonella (codling moth), 1512 nucleotides. RefSeq lists it as uncharacterized. NCBI's taxonomy places the organism in Eukaryota, Metazoa, Arthropoda, Insecta, Lepidoptera, Tortricidae. The transcript is spliced from 2 exons. The record is from RefSeq and is a predicted model, not a curated record.